GACGAACGCUGGCGGCGUGCUUAACACAUGCAAGUCGAACGGAAAGGCCCUGCUUUUGUGGGGUGCUCGAGUGGCGAACGGGUGAGUAACACGUGAGUAACCUGCCCUUGACUUUGGGAUAACUUCAGGAAACUGGGGCUAAUACCGGAUAGGAGCUCCUGCUGCAUGGUGGGGGUUGGAAAGUUUCGGCGGUUGGGGAUGGACUCGCGGCUUAUCAGCUUGUUGGUGGGGUAGUGGCUUACCAAGGCUUUGACGGGUAGCCGGCCUGAGAGGGUGGCCGGCCACAAUAGGACUGAGGUACGGACCAGACUCCUACGGGAGGCAGCAGUGGGGAGUAUUGCACAGUGGGCGGAAGCCUGAUGCGGCAACGCCGCGUGCGGAAUGACGGCCUUCGGGUUGUAAACCGCUUUCGCCUGUGACGAAGCGUGAGUGACGGUAAUGAGUAAAGAAGCACCGGCUAACUACGUG
RNAcentral lists this ribosomal RNA (468 nucleotides) under uncultured bacterium. RNAcentral describes it as "partial 16S ribosomal RNA". It matches the Rfam family "Bacterial small subunit ribosomal RNA", at positions 28 to 507 of the family's 1533-position model. The record is from RNAcentral.